UAAUACGGAGGGUGCAAGCGUUGUUCGGAUUUAUUGGGCGUAAAGAGAGUGUAGGCGGUUUGUUAAGUCAGAAGUGAAAGCCCCGGGCUCAACCCGGGAAGUGCUUUUGAAACUGGCAGACUUGAGUACGGGAGAGGGUAGCGGAAUUCCAAGUGUAGAGGUGAAAUUCGUAGAUAUUUGGAGGAACACCGGUGGCGAAGGCGGCUACCUGGACCGAUACUGACGCUGAGACUCGAAAGCGUGGGGAGCAAACGGGAUUAGGUACCCCGGUAGUCCACGCCCUAAACGAUGAGUACUAGGUGUUGCGGGGGUUACCCUGCGGUGCCGCAGCUAACGCAUUAAGUACUCCGCCUGGGAAGUACGGCCGCAAGGCUA
RNAcentral lists this ribosomal RNA (375 nucleotides) under uncultured delta proteobacterium. RNAcentral describes it as "bacterial SSU rRNA". It matches the Rfam family "Bacterial small subunit ribosomal RNA", at positions 521 to 896 of the family's 1533-position model. Lineage: Bacteria; Deltaproteobacteria. The record is from RNAcentral.